RNAcentral lists this ribosomal RNA (808 nucleotides) under uncultured prokaryote. Its description in RNAcentral is "bacterial SSU rRNA". It matches the Rfam family "Bacterial small subunit ribosomal RNA", at positions 8 to 796 of the family's 1533-position model. The record is from RNAcentral.
AGAGUUUGAUCCUGGCUCAGAACGAACGUUGGCGGCGUGGAUGAGGCAUGCAAGUCGAACGCGAAAGCCGCAAGGUGAGUAGAGUGGCGGACGGGCGAGUAACACGUAAUCAAGCUACCUGCGAGACGGGGAUAACUUCGGGAAACCGAAGCUAAGACCCGAUGGUCUGCCGGGACCGCAUGGUUCUGGUAGUAAAUGGGCGGGAUCUUUCGGGAUCGCCUGCUCGCAGAGGUGAUUGCGGCCCAUCAGCUAGUUGGUAGGGUAACGGCCUACCAAGGCAACGACGGGUAGCCGGCCUUAGAGGGUGGUCGGCCGCACUGGGACUGAGACACUGCCCAGACUCCUACGGGAGGCUGCAGUCGAGAAUCUUCCGCAAUGGGCGAAAGCCUGACGGAGCGACGCCGCGUGGAGGACGAAGGCCUUCGGGUUGUAAACUCCUGUCACGAGUUAAGAAGGUGGUUCUUCGAACAGAGGGAUCAUUUGACGUAAGCUCGAGAGGAAGCACUGGCUAACUCUGUGCCAGCAGCCGCGGUAAUACAGAGAGUGCAAACGUUGUUCGGAAUUACUGGGCUUAAAGCGCGCGUAGGCUGCAUCGUAAGUGUCUGGUGAAAUCCCACGGCUCACCCGUGGAACUGCCAGGCAUACUGCGGUGCUAGAGUGUGGUAGGGGAGAGCGGAACUCCUGGUGGAGCGGUGAAAUGCGUAGAUAUCAGGAGGAACACCGGUGGCGAAGGCGGCUCUCUGGUCCACAACUGACGCUGAGGUGCGAAAGCUAGGGGAGCAAACGGGAUUAGAUACCCUGGUAGUCC